UCAGACUCUCACUCAAGUGAAUGAAGCGCAAGGGCUGUAAGGAUUUGAAAAAACGGUGCCAUCUGCAAAACAACACGGGGUAGGAUCUGCCACACAGUGCCUCAUUUUUCAUGGGUCCAUGUUUCAUUUUUUGGCAGAAAAUAAAAGGUUGUCCGGAUGACUGCAAAGCGCUUCCCCAUCUGAGACACACCAGUGGACGCAAUUCUUCAAGUGUCUUCAUAUUUAUGGAAUAAAACCAGCCAUCAUGUCGGGGAAGCCAGAUGGGAAGAUGAAGUGGGCGGCUGUCAGGGGUCGCCUGGGCUCCUCGCAGGACUCAGAUACCCAGCAGGAGGCCAACCUGGAGAGCGCUGACCCAGAGCUGUGCAUCCGCUUGCUGCAAGUCCCCACCGUGGUCAACUACUCAGGGCUGAGGAGGCGCCUGGAGGGCAGCGACCAGACAUGGAUGGUCCAGUUCCUGGAGCUCAGCGGGCUGGAUCUCCUCCUGGAGGCCCUGGAUCGGCUCUCGGGGCGGGGGUGUUCUCGCAUUGCCGAUGCCCUUCUGCAGCUCACCUGUGUCAACUGCGUCCGGGCUGUCAUGAACUCCUCUGCAGGGAUCCACUUCAUCAUAGACAACGAGGGAUACAUCCGGAAGCUCUCCCAAGCUUUGGACACUUCCAACACCAUGGUGAAGAAACAGGUGUUUGAUCUUCUUGCUGCCCUGAGCGUGUUCUCUGUAGACGGCCAUCGCCUGGCUCUGGAUGCUCUGGAUCACUACAAGGUCGUGAAGACGCAGCAGUAUCGCUUCAGUGUGAUCAUGAACGAGCUGCAGGCCACAGAUAACGUACCUUACAUGGUAACGCUCCUCAGUGUCAUCAACGCCCUCAUCUUCGGCACAGAUGACCUCAGGGAGAGGGAUAAGAUGAGAAAGCAGUUCAUUGGACUUCAGUUACUUGAUGUUCUGCCAAAGUUAAGGGAGGAGGAGGAUGAAGACUUAAUUAUUCAAUGGGAAGCUUUUGAAGAGGCAAUGUCUGAAGAUGAGGAGGAGAUACUGCGGGUCUAUGGGGGUAUUGACAUGAGUGAUCACCUGGAGGUGUUCACUACUCUCUUUAACAAGGUUAGCAGCACCCCAGCCUCCAUGCAGCUGCUGUCCAUCCUGCAGACGCUGCUGUUGCUCGGGCCGGACCACUCUGACAUCUGGCAGGCUCUGGAGUCCAUCACUAACCGAGCCAUACUGCUGGCCCAGGACUCUCAUAUGGAGUCCUCUGAGAAGAUCAUGCAGCGGCUGCUGUUCUCCAAGGGCAAGAGCUGCAGGGGUCAGCACGAGCUGGACGGGCAGCUGGGGAGAGCGGAUAAGGGGGUCCAGACUGACCCAGAUAGUGGGGAUGAAGAGAAGUCAGAGAAAAGCUUAACCUCCUCUCAGAAACCACUGUGUGCCUCUGCUCCUCCUCCUCCUCCUCCUCUAACCCCAAGUAUGCUCCAACCUUCUAACCAGUGCCCACCUCCUCCUCCACCACUACCUGGGGGGUUUGGUGGACCCCCACCUCCUCCGCCUUUGCCUGGAAUUCCACCACCACCGCCACUGCCUGGUGGUCUGGGUAUGCCUCCUCCGCCACCUCCAUUACCUGGCAUGGGUGGUGGCCCACCACCACCACCUCCAUUACCUGGUAUGGGUGGCGGCCCACCACCACCACCUCCAUUACCUGGUAUGGGUGGCGGCCCACCACCACCACCUCCAUUACCUGGCAUGCCAGCUCCUCCGCCUCCCCCCGGCAUGAUGGUGGCUCAGGGUAGUCAGUCCCUGGGGUCCGCUGCCCCCACCAAGGCACACCGAUGCCCCACCCUGAGGAUGAAAAAGCUCAACUGGCAGAAACUGCGUGCGGUUACGGAUGGUCACUCCAUGUGGGCCACGGUUCAGGGUGAGCCGCCUUCUCGGGAGCCGAACUACAGCAGUAUCGAGCAGCUGUUCAGUUUCCCGGUGACCGAGAACAAAGACAAGGGGGCAGCUGCUCCUGUCAAGAAGGAGCCUAAAGAGAUCACAUUCAUUGAUCCAAAGAAAAACUUGAAUUUGAACAUAUUCCUAAAGCAGUUCAAAUGCAAAAAUGAGGACUUUGUAGCCAUGAUUCAGAAUGGAGACCGUACUAAGUUUGACGUAGAGGUGCUGAAACAGCUUGUGAAGCUCCUACCAGAGAGCCAUGAGAUUGAAAAUUUGAAGUCCUUUCAAGGAGACAAAGAAAAGUUGGCAAAUGUUGACCGGUUCUACACCUCCCUUCUCACUGUUCCCUGUUAUCAGUUGAGGAUUGAGUGCAUGUUGUUGUGUGAGGAGAUUUCAUCAGUGUUGGAUAUGCUCAAACCUAGAGCUAAGCUGGUGGCGGAAGCCUGCCAGUCCCUCAGAACUAGCACGCUCAUGCCCAGUUUCUGCAAGCUCAUCCUGGACGUUGGUAAUUUUCUCAAUUAUGGAAGUCACACCGGGAACGCUGCAGGGUUCAAGAUCAGCUCUCUGCUCAAACUCACAGAGACCAAGGCCAACAAGAGCCGCAUUACGCUGCUUCAUCACAUCCUGGAGGAAGUAGAGGUGAACCACCCAGAGCUGUUGGCGCUGCCGGAUGAUAUAGAGAUCUGUGAAAAAGCAGCAGGAAUUAGUCUGGAAUCUGUUCAGUCAGAAGCCAGUGCCUUACUAAAACGUCUGAACGAGACGGCUAAGAAGGUCUCCACCUCUGACGAAGAGGUGAAGGAGCAGUACGGAAACAUUCUUCAGGAAAGUCUGGAGGCAUGUCAGGACUUGACCGAAACAUUAACGGAGACUGAGAAGACAAAGAGUGAGCUGGCUGUCUACUUAUGUGAAGAUGUCAACCAGCUGUCGCUUGAGGAACUCUUCGGAACCAUCAAAACUUUCCGAGGACUUUUCCUCAAGGCACUAAAGGAAAACAAAUCCAGACGAGAGCUGGCAGCCAAGGCUGAGAAGAGGAAGAAGCAGCUGGCAGAUGAAGAGUCCAAGAGACAGAAGGGAGAGAAUGGAAAAAUCAUCAAGAAAGGCUUUGUCCCGCAGGACGACGACUGCAUCAUCGAUCACCUCCUGGCGGAUAUCAGAAAAGGUUUCAGCCUCAGAAAGACCAGGCCAAGGUGCGAUUCGGAAAGCCUCCCUUCUAGUGAAAUUCGUAGGGAUACCCUCCCAUCUGGGUCAAGUGUGAAGCCUGUCGAAGAAAAAGACGCAGAACUAGCCGUCACCUUCGCUCCCUCCAAAACUCCGUCAGAGGGUCCACGGGCCGAGACAGGCGGAGUGAACGGCUUCCUCAGCCCGUCAGAAGAGACUCCUCCAGCACCUCAGAGUGCAGUUCAAGGCGGACCAGCUGCACCUCCCAAGGCACCCCCAGGAGUACCAGCCAUGAUGAAGCAGGCACCCCUGGUAAGACCUGCGUCGCUGCAGGGUGGGUUACACCCACAGGGACCCGCAGUGUCUUCACCAGAUACGAUGCAACCUCAGCCUCAGGUUGAAGCGGAACAUCAACCAUGUUUCCCCACAAAUGGCUUCUCACCGGAUUCCUCCGAGGCUAGCGUCCUCAGCCCGACUUCCCUCUCCGAUUCUGACCUGCUAGAAGCUGUGUUGGAUGGCACGUCCAGCCUGGCAUCUGAGAAGAUGAUUCCCAAAGAGCCAGUGGAUGGUAAAGUAGAUAUUCAUAUGAAGGAAGGUCCUUUACCGAAUGCUAACAAUGUGCCGAGUAGUGAGAGAAACACAACGGGAGAUGAAGAUGGAGAAAUUAGUAAUGAAAUAAGCCAUUUACCAGAGACUGUAGGACAAGAGAAGGGGCGAGAAGAGAUUAUUUUGAAAACGUCCGUGACUACACUCAGUGAGGGCUUUGAUGUUCCCGAUGGACUGGUGUCACCAGAUCUGCCGUCAGUGUCUGAAGCACUGCCUCCAUCCCCUAAGCCCGAACCAAAGAGAAAGAGGAGCUUCUAUAAACCAAACAAAAAGAAUCCAGGUAAUCUCUCCAUUACAUUUAAUAAAGCGCAUGUUGGGAACGCUAGUCUCUUGAUGCCUAUUAAAGGGAAAUUCAUAUUUGUUUGUCUUUUUAUUGCAUUUAACAUUUUAUGUAUCGGCUAUGUUACUGUGUAUUCAUAAGCAUUUUAUUAAAGACUAUGCAGUGUGCAGGAAAUGUUGCAGAUUUUUUUGUAAUGCUCUGUUUUCAUUCUGAAACACAAAUGUAUUUAUUUUUGUAGUCUUUGUAUUUGUAUUAACACAAACAUUUCCCAAAUUGGGAUCAAUAAAGUACCAUCUUAUCUUAUCUUAAGGUAACAGGGCGAAAGGACACACUAAACAUAAAAAAGGCUGUGUGUUGCAGUGAGGUUACUCCAGAAAAAGAAAAUCGAGAGGAAAGAGAAAAUGUUAAUAUCGCACAGGAGUUGUGAACUGGAAGGACUACAAUACUAUUAGUUUGUGAGACUGCAUGAGCAUUGACUCCUUGAAGAGGAUGCAGAAGUCUUCCUUUUGCAAUGAUUUGUUUUCCAUGACCAAGAAGAGUAAACGCGUCUUAAGGCUGGGAUUUCCAAAAACAUGGAUCUCCAAAUGUCUCUUUAUGUAAAUUAGUUGUGGAAUUUGUGUUUUUGAUUCUGAUCUAUUGAAAAAAAGUGGCUUUAUAUGUUUUGUACAAUUGUUGUAAUAUGAAGUGAAUGUGUUUUUGCAUUACGCUCUAUUACCUUUUCCGCACCUUAGAAAGAAAGAUGCAGUGUUGCUGGUGCAACAACACAAACGAUAUGUAACUAAUCAAAACAAAACUUAUUGAAUGUCUUAAUUUCUAUGUAUAUUAUCCAGAUGAUCUCUAACAGGAAAAUAUAAGGAUAUUUAAUGGAUUGUGAAUUGUAUUGUUAAAUAUAUUUUAAUAAAAGUGAAUUUACUGUUUAA
This is an RNA transcript of Gymnodraco acuticeps, 4876 nucleotides long. It is a transcript of the gene named inverted formin 2, with no coding region annotated. Lineage: Eukaryota; Metazoa; Chordata; Actinopteri; Perciformes; Bathydraconidae. The transcript is spliced from 22 exons. The record is from RefSeq and is a predicted model, not a curated record.